AACGACUCUCAGCAACGGAUAUCUUGGCUCUUGCAACGAUGAAGAACGCACCGAAAUGCGAUACCUAGUGUGAAUUGCAGAAUUCCGCGAAUCAUCGAGUCUUUGAACGCAAGUUGCGCCCGAGGCUUGUCCCGAGGGCAUGCCUGCCUGAGCGUCACCGC
Molecule: ribosomal RNA, 161 nt
Filed under: Herbertus juniperoideus
Lineage: Eukaryota; Viridiplantae; Streptophyta; Jungermanniopsida; Jungermanniales; Herbertaceae
Description: 5.8S ribosomal RNA
Rfam family: 5.8S ribosomal RNA
About the family: 5.8S ribosomal RNA (5.8S rRNA) is a component of the large subunit of the eukaryotic ribosome.
Source: RNAcentral